Molecule: transfer RNA, 72 nt
Filed under: Camelus bactrianus (Bactrian camel)
Lineage: Eukaryota; Metazoa; Chordata; Mammalia; Artiodactyla; Camelidae
Also listed under: 3 other names
Rfam family: tRNA
About the family: Transfer RNA (tRNA) molecules are approximately 80 nucleotides in length. Their secondary structure includes four short double-helical elements and three loops (D, anti-codon, and T loops). Further hydrogen bonds mediate the characteristic L-shaped molecular structure. tRNAs have two regions of fundamental functional importance: the anti-codon, which is responsible for specific mRNA codon recognition, and the 3' end, to which the tRNAs corresponding amino acid is attached (by aminoacyl-tRNA synthetases). tRNAs cope with the degeneracy of the genetic code in two manners: having more than one tRNA (with a specific anti-codon) for a particular amino acid; and 'wobble' base-pairing, i.e. permitting non-standard base-pairing at the 3rd anti-codon position.
Source: Rfam by way of RNAcentral
GUGGGUAUAGCUCAGUGGUAGAGCACAUGCUUAGUAUGCAUGAGGUCCUGGGUUCAGUUCCCAGUACCUUCA